This 407-nucleotide ribosomal RNA is filed under the name uncultured Skermanella sp. RNAcentral describes it as "bacterial SSU rRNA". It matches the Rfam family "Bacterial small subunit ribosomal RNA", at positions 504 to 909 of the family's 1533-position model. Lineage: Bacteria; Pseudomonadati; Pseudomonadota; Alphaproteobacteria; Rhodospirillales; Azospirillaceae. The record is from RNAcentral.
CGUGCCAGGAGUUCGCGGUAAUACGAAGGGGGCUAGCGUUGNUCGGAAUUACUGGGCGUAAAGGGCGCGUAGGCGGUACUUCAAGUCAGGCGUGAAAGCCCCGGGCUCAACCUGGGAACCGCGCUUGAGACUGGAGAACUCGAGUUCGGGAGAGGAUGGUGGAAUUCCCAGUGUAGAGGUGAAAUUCGUAGAUAUUGGGAAGAACACCGAUGGCGAAGGCAGCCAUCUGGACCGACACUGACGCUGAGGCGCGAAAGCGUGGGGAGCAAACAGGAUUAGAUACCCUGGUAGUCCACGCCGUAAACGAUGAGUGCUAGACGUUGGGGCCCUUAGGGCUUCGGUGUCGCAGCUAACGCAUUAAGCACUCCGCCUGGGGAGUACGGCCGCAAGGUUAAAACUCAAAGGAA